This 425-nucleotide ribosomal RNA is filed under the name uncultured bacterium. RNAcentral's name for it is "partial 16S ribosomal RNA". It matches the Rfam family "Bacterial small subunit ribosomal RNA", at positions 354 to 796 of the family's 1533-position model. The record is from RNAcentral.
GUGGGGAAUCUUAGACAAUGGGCGCAAGCCUGAUCUAGCCAUGCCGCGUGAGUGAUGAAGGCCCUAGGGUUGUAAAGCUCUUUCAGCUGGGAAGAUAAUGACGGUACCAGCAGAAGAAGCCCCGGCUAACUCCGUGCCAGCAGCCGCGGUAAUACGGAGGGGGCUAGCGUUGUUCGGAAUUACUGGGCGUAAAGCGCGCGUAGGCGGACUGAAAAGUUGGGGGUGAAAUCCCGGGGCUCAACCUCGGAACUGCCUUCAAAACUAUCCGUCUGGAGUUCGAGAGAGGUGAGUGGAAUUCCGAGUGUAGAGGUGAAAUUCGUAGAUAUUCGGAGGAACACCAGUGGCGAAGGCGGCUCACUGGCUCGAUACUGACGCUGAGGUGCGAAAGCGUGGGGAGCAAACAGGAUUAGAUACCCUUGUAGUCC